GCCCGGGUAGCUCAGUCGGUAGAGCAGAGGACUGAAAAUCCUCGUGUCGGUGGUUCGAUUCCGCCCCCGGGCACCA
This 76-nucleotide transfer RNA is filed under the name Holosporaceae bacterium. RNAcentral describes it as "tRNA-Phe". It matches the Rfam family "tRNA". Rfam says of the family: Transfer RNA (tRNA) molecules are approximately 80 nucleotides in length. Lineage: Bacteria; Pseudomonadati; Pseudomonadota; Alphaproteobacteria; Holosporales; Holosporaceae. The record is from RNAcentral.